RNAcentral lists this ribosomal RNA (1137 nucleotides) under Campylobacter jejuni. RNAcentral's name for it is "partial 23S ribosomal RNA". It matches the Rfam family "Bacterial large subunit ribosomal RNA", at positions 598 to 1737 of the family's 2925-position model. The record is from RNAcentral. Lineage: Bacteria; Pseudomonadati; Campylobacterota; Epsilonproteobacteria; Campylobacterales; Campylobacteraceae.
GGACUGCCUUUUGCAUAAUGAGCCUGCGAGUUGUGGUGUCUGGCAAGGUUAAGCAAACGCGAAGCCGUAGCGAAAGCGAGUCUGAAUAGGGCGCUUAGUCAGAUGCUGCAGACCCGAAACGAAGUGAUCUAUCCAUGAGCAAGUUGAAGCUAGUGUAAGAACUAGUGGAGGACUGAACCCAUAGGCGUUGAAAAGCCCCGGGAUGACUUGUGGAUAGGGGUGAAAGGCCAAUCAAACUUCGUGAUAGCUGGUUCUCUCCGAAAUAUAUUUAGGUAUAGCGUUGUGUCGUAAUAUAAGGGGGUAGAGCACUGAAUGGGCUAGGGCAUACACCAAUGUACCAAACCCUAUCAAACUCCGAAUACCUUAUAUGUAAUCACAGCAGUCAGGCGGCGAGUGAUAAAAUCCGUCGUCAAGAGGGAAACAACCCAGACUACCAGCUAAGGUCCCUAAAUCUUACUUAAGUGGAAAACGAUGUGAAGUUACUUAAACAACCAGGAGGUUGGCUUAGAAGCAGCCAUCCUUUAAAGAAAGCGUAAUAGCUCACUGGUCUAGUGAUUUUGCGCGGAAAAUAUAACGGGGCUAAAGUAAGUACCGAAGCUGUAGACUUAGUUUACUAAGUGGUAGGAGAGCGUUCUAUUUGCGUCGAAGGUAUACCGGUAAGGAGUGCUGGAGCGAAUAGAAGUGAGCAUGCAGGCAUGAGUAGCGAUAAUUAAUGUGAGAAUCAUUAACGCCGUAAACCCAAGGUUUCCUACGCGAUGCUCGUCAUCGUAGGGUUAGUCGGGUCCUAAGUCGAGUCCGAAAGGGGUAGACGAUGGCAAAUUGGUUAAUAUUCCAAUACCAACAUUAGUGUGCGAUGGAAGGACGCUUAGGGCUAAGGGGGCUAGCGGAUGGAAGUGCUAGUCUAAGGUCGUAGGAGGUUAUACAGGCAAAUCCGUAUAACAAUACUCCGAGAACUGAAAGGCUUUUUGAAGUCUUCGGAUGGAUAGAAGAACCCCUGAUGCCGUCGAGCCAAGAAAAGUUUCUAAGUUUAGCUAAUGUUGCCCGUACCGUAAACCGACACAGGUGGGUGGGAUGAGUAUUCUAAGGCGCGUGGAAGAACUCUCUUUAAGGAACUCUGCAAAAUAGCACCGUAUCUUC